CUCCCUCUCCCCACGGUCUCCCUCUCCCCACGGUCUCCCUCUCCCUCUCUUUCCACGGUCUCCCUCUGAUGCCGAGCCGAAGCUGGACUGUACUGCUGCCAUCUCGGCUCACUGCAACCUCCCUGCCUGAUUCUCCUGCCUCAGCCUGCGGAGUGCCUGCGAUUGCAGGCGCGCGCCGCCACGCCUGACUGGUUUUCUUAUUUUUUUGGUGAAGACGGGGUUUCACUGUGUUGGCUGGGCUGGUCUCCAGCUCCUAGCCGCGAGUGAUCCGCCAGCCUCGGCCUCCGGAGGUGCCGGGAUUGCAGACGAUGUCUGGUUCACUCAGUGCUCAGUGGUGCCCAGGCUGGAGUGCAGUGGUGUGAUCUCAGCUCGCUACAACCUCCACCUCCCAGCCACCUGCCUUGGCCUCCCAAAGUGCUGAGAUUGCAGCCUAUGCCCGGCCGCCACCCCGUCUGGGAAGUGAGGAGCGUCUCUGCCUGGCCGCCUAUCGUCUGGGACGUGAGGAGCCCCUCUGCCUGGCUGCCCAGUCUGGAAAGUGAGAAGCGUCUGCCCGGCCGCCAUCCCAUCUAGGAAGUGAGGAGCGUCUCUGCCCGGCCACCCAUUGUCUGAGAUGUGGGGAGCGCCUUUGCCCCACCGCCCCGUCUGGGAUGUGAGGAGCGCCUCUGCCUGGCCGCGACCCCGUCUGGGAGGUGAGGAGCGUCUCUGCCCAGCCGCCCCGUCUGAGAAGGGAGGAGACCCUCCGCCCGGCAACCGCCCCGUCUGAGAAGUGAGGAGCCCCUCCGCCCGGCAGCCGGCCCAUCUGAGAAGAAGUGAGGAGCGUCUCUGCCCGGCCACCCAUUGUCUGAGAUGUGGGGAGCGCCUUUGCCCCACCGCCCCGUCUGGGAUGUGAGGAGCGCCUCUGCCUGGCCGCGACCCCGUCUGGGAGGUGAGGAGCGUCUCUGCCCAGCCGCCCCGUCUGAGAAGGGAGGAGACCCUCCGCCCGGCAACCGCCCCGUCUGAGAAGUGAGGAGCCCCUCCGCCCGGCAGCCGGCCCAUCUGAGAAGUGAGGAGCGUCUCCGCCCGGCAGCCACCCCGUCCGGGAGGGAGGUGGGGGGGUCAGCCCCCCGCCCAGCCAGCCGCCCCGUCCGGGAGGGAGGUGGGGGGGUCAGCCCCCCGCCCGGCCAGCCGCCCCGUCCGGGAGGUGAGGGGCGCCUCUGCCCAGCCACCCCUACUGGGAAGUGAGAAGCCCCUCUGCCCAGCCAGCCGCUCCGUCCGGGAGGGAGGUUGGGGGGUCAGCACCCCGCCCGGCCAGCCACCCCGUCCAGGAGGGAGGUGGGGGUGUCAGCCCCCCGCCCGGCCAGCCGCCCUGUCGGGGAUGUGAGGGGCGCCUCUGCCCGGCCGCCCCUACUGGGAAGUGAGGAGCCCCUCUGCCCGGCCACCACCCCGUCUGGGAGGUGUACCCAACAGCUCAUUGAGAACGGGCCAUGAUGACAAUUGCGGUUUUGUGGAAUAGAAAGGGGGCAAAGGUGGGGAAAAGAUUGAGAAAUCGGAUGGUUGCCGUGUCUGUGUGGAAAGAAGUAGACAUGGGAGACUUUUCAUUUUGUUCUGUACUAAGAAAAAUUCUUCUGCCUUGGGAUCCUGUUGAUCUGUGACCUUACCCCCAACCCUGUGCUCUCUGAAACAUGUGCUGUGUCCACUCAGGGUUAAAUGGAUUAAGGGCGGUGCAAGAUGUGCUUUGUUAAACAGAUGCUUGAAGGCAGCAUGCUCGUUAAGAGUCAUCACCACUCCCUAAUCUCAAGUACCCAGGGACACAAACGCUGCGGAAGGCCGCAGGGUCCUCUGCCUAGGAAAACCAGAGACCUCUGUUCACUUGUUUAUCUGCUGACCUUCCCUCCACUAUUGUCCUAUGACCCUGCCAAAUCCCCCUCUGUGAGAAACACCCAAGAAUGAUCAAUAAAAAAUAAAUAAAUAAAUAAAUAAAUAAAAAGAAAAUGUGUUUCUAUGUAUACACCAAAAU
Molecule: long non-coding RNA, 1996 nt
Filed under: Homo sapiens (human)
Lineage: Eukaryota; Metazoa; Chordata; Mammalia; Primates; Hominidae
Description: HSALNT0354769
Source: RNAcentral